GCGGAAGUGGCGAAAUUGGUAGACGCACCAGAUUUAGGUUCUGGCACCGCAAGGUGUAAGAGUUCAAGUCUCUUCUUCCGCACCA
RNAcentral lists this transfer RNA (85 nucleotides) under Vibrio cholerae. Its description in RNAcentral is "tRNA-Leu". It matches the Rfam family "tRNA". From Rfam's summary of the family: Transfer RNA (tRNA) molecules are approximately 80 nucleotides in length. Their secondary structure includes four short double-helical elements and three loops (D, anti-codon, and T loops). Further hydrogen bonds mediate the characteristic L-shaped molecular structure. tRNAs have two regions of fundamental functional importance: the anti-codon, which is responsible for specific mRNA codon recognition, and the 3' end, to which the tRNAs corresponding amino acid is attached (by aminoacyl-tRNA synthetases). tRNAs cope with the degeneracy of the genetic code in two manners: having more than one tRNA (with a specific anti-codon) for a particular amino acid; and 'wobble' base-pairing, i.e. permitting non-standard base-pairing at the 3rd anti-codon position. The record is from RNAcentral. RNAcentral also lists the same sequence under 2 other names. Lineage: Bacteria; Pseudomonadati; Pseudomonadota; Gammaproteobacteria; Vibrionales; Vibrionaceae.